This 329-nucleotide ribosomal RNA is filed under the name uncultured eukaryote. RNAcentral describes it as "partial 18S ribosomal RNA". It matches the Rfam family "Eukaryotic small subunit ribosomal RNA", at positions 1470 to 1796 of the family's 1831-position model. The record is from RNAcentral.
CCCUUAGAUGUUCUGGGCUGCACGCGCGCUACACUGAUGCGCUCAACGAGUUUACGAACUUGCCCGGAAGGGUUGGUUAAUCUUUUUAAAACGCAUCGUGAUGGGGAUAGAUUAUUGCAAUUAUUAAUCUUCAACGAGGAAUUCCUAGUAAGCGCGAGUCAUCAGCUCGCACUGAUUACGUCCCUGCCCUUUGUACACACCGCCCGUCGCUCCUACCGAUUGAAUGUGUUGGUGAGGAGCUCGGAUUGGCAGCAGUUGGUGGUUCGCCACCGGCUAUUGCUGAGAAGUCCUCCAAACCGCCCCAUUUAGAGGAAGGAGAAGUCGUAACA